Molecule: ribosomal RNA, 304 nt
Filed under: uncultured bacterium
Lineage: Bacteria
Description: partial 16S ribosomal RNA
Rfam family: Bacterial small subunit ribosomal RNA
Source: RNAcentral
CAGCAGUCGCCGCGGUAAUACGGAGGGUGCAAGCGUUAUCCGGAUUUAUUGGGUUUAAAGGGUCCGUAGGCGGACUUAUAAGUCAGUGGUGAAAGCCUGUCGCUUAACGAUAGAACUGCCAUUGAUACUGUAAGUCUUGAGUAUAUUUGAGGUAGCUGGAAUAAGUAGUGUAGCGGUGAAAUGCAUAGAUAUUACUUAGAACACCAAUUGCGAAGGCAGGUUACCAAGAUAUAACUGACGCUGAGGGACGAAAGCGUGGGUAGCGAACAGGAUUAGAUACCCCGGUAGUCCCUGUCUCUUAUAC